AGUUUAUACCGUAGCUUGCUACACCAUAGACUGUGAGUUGCGAACGGGUGAGUAACGCGUAGGUAACCUGCCUGGUAGCGGGGGAUAACUAUUGGAAACGAUAGCUAAUACCGCAUAAUAUUAAUUAUUGCAUGAUAAUUGAUUGAAAGGUGCAAUUGCACCACUACCAGAUGGACCUGCGUUGUAUUAGCUAGUAGGUGAGGUAACGGCUCACCUAGGCGACGAUACAUAGCCGACCUGAGAGGGUGAUCGGCCACACUGGGACUGAGACACGGCCCAGACUCCUACGGGAGGCAGCAGUAGGGAAUCUUCGGCAAUGGACGAAAGUCUGACCGAGCAACGCCGCGUGAGUGAAGAAGGUUUUCGGAUCGUAAAGCUCUGUUGUAAGAGAAGAACGGGUGUGAGAGUGGAAAGUUCACACUGUGACGGUAUCUUACCAGAAAGGGACGGCUAACUACGUGC
This 462-nucleotide ribosomal RNA is filed under the name Streptococcus gordonii. Its description in RNAcentral is "bacterial SSU rRNA". It matches the Rfam family "Bacterial small subunit ribosomal RNA", at positions 60 to 508 of the family's 1533-position model. Lineage: Bacteria; Bacillati; Bacillota; Bacilli; Lactobacillales; Streptococcaceae. The record is from RNAcentral.